RNAcentral lists this ribosomal RNA (301 nucleotides) under uncultured bacterium. RNAcentral's name for it is "partial 16S ribosomal RNA". It matches the Rfam family "Bacterial small subunit ribosomal RNA", at positions 509 to 807 of the family's 1533-position model. The record is from RNAcentral.
CAGUAGCCGCGGUAGUACGUAGGUGGCAAGCGUUGUCCGGAAUUAUUGGGCGUAAAGGGCUCGCAGGCGGUUUCUUAAGUCUGAUGUGAAAGCCCCCGGCUCAACCGGGGAGGGUCAUUGAAAACUGGGAAACUUGAGUGCAGAAGAGGAGAGUGGAAUUCCACGUGUAGCGGUGAAAUGCGUAGAGAUGUGGAGGAACACCAGUGGCGAAGGCGACUCUCUGGUCUGUAACUGACGCUGAGGAGCGAAAGCGUGGGUAGCGAACAGGAUUAGAUACCCGCGUAGUCCCUGUCUCUUAUAC